AGUGCGUGGCCGCCCGGGGCCAUGGCGACACUCAGCUUCGUCUUCCUGCUGCUGGGGGCAGUGUCCUGGCCUCCGGCUUCUGCCUCCGGCCAGGAGUUCUGGCCCGGACAGUCGGCGGCCGAUAUUCUGUCGGGGGCGGCUUCCCGCAGACGGUAUCUUCUGUAUGACGUCAACCCCCCGGAAGGCUUCAACCUGCGCAGGGAUGUCUAUAUCCGAAUCGCCUCUCUCCUGAAGACUCUGCUGAAGACGGAGGAGUGGGUGCUUGUCCUGCCUCCAUGGGGCCGCCUCUAUCACUGGCAGAGUCCUGACAUCCACCAGGUCCGGAUUCCCUGGUCUGAGUUUUUUGAUCUUCCAAGUCUCAAUAAAAACAUCCCCGUCAUCGAGUAUGAGCAGUUCAUCGCAGGUGAGGCCGAGCGGCACGCUGGGAGGCCGUGGUUGCUUAACUGGGGCCAGGCAGUCAUUUCUAAGGUAGACAUCAGGUUGGGCUUACGAUUGCAUCCAGCCUCACCAGCAUCCUCCAGUGCCCAGUGCUGCUGCCUGAGGCCUGUGGCAGCACCUUCUCCGCUCAGGAGCACAGUCCCUUUCCCACGCUGCAGUG
This 598-nucleotide small RNA is filed under the name Pan troglodytes (chimpanzee). RNAcentral's name for it is "processed transcript". Lineage: Eukaryota; Metazoa; Chordata; Mammalia; Primates; Hominidae. The record is from RNAcentral.